This 557-nucleotide ribosomal RNA is filed under the name Lactobacillus sp. Lact02. RNAcentral's name for it is "bacterial SSU rRNA". It matches the Rfam family "Bacterial small subunit ribosomal RNA", at positions 102 to 645 of the family's 1533-position model. The record is from RNAcentral. RNAcentral also lists the same sequence under 1 other name. Lineage: Bacteria; Bacillati; Bacillota; Bacilli; Lactobacillales; Lactobacillaceae.
ACUGGUGAGUAACACGUGGGAAACCUGCCCAGAAGCGGGGGAUAACACCUGGAAACAGAUGCUAAUACCGCAUAACAACUUGGACCGCAUGGUCCGAGCUUGAAAGAUGGCUUCGGCUAUCACUUUUGGAUGGUCCCGCGGCGUAUUAGCUAGAUGGUGGGGUAACGGCUCACCAUGGCAAUGAUACGUAGCCGACCUGAGAGGGUAAUCGGCCACAUUGGGACUGAGACACGGCCCAAACUCCUACGGGAGGCAGCAGUAGGGAAUCUUCCACAAUGGACGAAAGUCUGAUGGAGCAACGCCGCGUGAGUGAAGAAGGGUUUCGGCUCGUAAAACUCUGUUGUUAAAGAAGAACAUAUCUGAGAGUAACUGUUCAGGUAUUGACGGUAUUUAACCAGAAAGCCACGGCUAACUACGUGCCAGCAGCCGCGGUAAUACGUAGGUGGCAAGCGUUGUCCGGAUUUAUUGGGCGUAAAGCGAGCGCAGGCGGUUUUUUAAGUCUGAUGUGAAAGCCUUCGGCUCAACCGAAGAAGUGCAUCGGAAACUGGGAAACUUGA